This 381-nucleotide long non-coding RNA is filed under the name Pogona vitticeps (central bearded dragon). RNAcentral describes it as "lncRNA (ENSPVIG00000001754.1)". Lineage: Eukaryota; Metazoa; Chordata; Lepidosauria; Squamata; Agamidae. The record is from RNAcentral.
AUCCUGGGCUCUAUGAAGCCAAUCUAGCUUUGAACGUGCUUUUAUUGAUCUUUCAGGUAAAUCUACUGUGAAAGUUAUGAGCCAAGCCCAGCUCACUGACUUCAAACAGAAUUGGAGGUACCUGUAGAGAGUUACCCUGGCAGACAAGCUUUCGCUAAAGCCAGCAGAGCAGAGCUGCUGCAUGGGAACCUGGAGCAUUCAGAUAAAUCAUACGGAAGCGGCCAAUCUACUUGUUACAAGCUUUCUUCAAAAAUUAGUUCUUGAAAAAUUCUCCCCGAACAACCUCCAAUCUCUUUGGAUGUCCUCCCCUCACAAAGAAAUAUGAGAAACCACACCUCUGGGAACUUAAAUUAUCUCAGGAGCUAGAGGACUAGUGGUGGU